GUGAACGCUGGCGGCGUGCUUAACACAUGCAAGUCGAACGGACUUAAGGGGCUUGCUUCUUAAGUUAGCGGCGCACGGGUGAGUAAUAUAUAGCUAACCUGCCCUUUAGUGGGGGACAACAGUUGGAAACGACUGCUAAUACCCUAUACUCCUUCUUACUAUAAGGUAAGUUGGGAAAGAUUUAUCGCUAAAGGAUGGGGCUUUAUUGUAUCAGCUAGUUGGUGGGGUAAUGGCCUACCAAGGCUAUGACGCAUACCUGGUCUGAGAGGAUGAUCAGGCACACUGGAACUGAGACACGGUCCAGACUCCUACGGGAGGCAGCAGUGGGGAAUAUUGCACAAUGGAGGAAACUCUGAUGCAGCAACGCCGCGUGGAGGAUGACGCAUUUCGGUGUGUAAACUCCUUUUAUAGGGGAAGAUAAUGACGGUACCCUAUGAAUAAGCACCGGCUAACUCCGUGCCAGCAGCCGCGGUAAUACGGAGGGUGCAAGCGUUACUCGGAAUCACUGGGCGUAAAGGAUGCGUAGGCUGGAAAUCAAGUCGAGAGUGAAAUCCAACGGCUCAACCGUUGAACUGCUCUCGAAACUGGUUACCUAGAAUAUGGGAGAGGUAGAUGGAAUUAGUGGUGUAGGGGUAAAAUCCGUAGAUAUCACUAGGAAUACCGAUUGCGAAGGCGAUCUACUGGAACAUUAUGACGCUGAGGCA
Molecule: ribosomal RNA, 704 nt
Filed under: uncultured bacterium
Lineage: Bacteria
Description: bacterial SSU rRNA
Rfam family: Bacterial small subunit ribosomal RNA
Source: RNAcentral